Molecule: non-coding RNA, 28 nt
Filed under: Mus musculus (house mouse)
Lineage: Eukaryota; Metazoa; Chordata; Mammalia; Rodentia; Muridae
Source: RNAcentral
UGAGUUCUCAAGGUACCUGCAAGAAAAA